AUGGCGAGCCAGAACCUAGGAGACAUUCCGCCGGUGCUGCCAAUCGUGGGUUGCCCGGACUGCGGCAGGAAGGUAGUCACGUACGGUAGCUCGCCGCGGGCAGCAUGUGGGCGAGCGCUUCUACAAGUGCCGCUACCACAAUGUGAGGGGGGGUUUCUGUGUUUAUGGGAGAGUUUUCGGUUCGGGAUCCUUUUUUGUGAUUUGAUUUGUUUGUCAUCUCACCGUCGUUGCAUCUUUCCGUUGUUGAUCUUCCGCAGCCAUCAGCAGGGGGAUGUGAUUUCUACAGGUGGCAAGAAGCGUACGCCGAGCACCUCGCAUCAAAUCCACAGGCGCAGAUCCAGGCGGCGCAAGUUGGUCAAGGUGCGCAGGCGCCGGUCGGGGCGGAGGGGCACCAGAACGUGGCGCCGGGGGGAUCUCAGUUUGGCUCGUCGGCAAGCGAAGAGCUGUUUUUUGCUACUUGUAAAUGCCAUAUAUGUGGUAGAUAGGAGAUGGAUGGAGAUGGACCAAAUGUGGUGGUUGGGACCUUGCAUGAUUCUCAAGGCUCUGUCCGAAACCAAUUUCCCAGGAAUACAGAUUGUAGUAGUCAUAUGCUUCUCCGAGAGAAUCAAAGCUGUCGCCGACAGCAGGAACUACAAUUCUCUUCUUCUCUGCGUAGCAUCUCAACGUUUUUUCAAGUGCGCUUAUUCUGUCCGCGCAUGGAGGACGCUCAAGAGGGGCUCGGCCAAUACGUACUCUGCAACACCCACACAUGGAGCAUCACCAGAGGCUUGGCUUUCGUCUUUGCCGGCCGACUGCUCCGAGCUUGGUGCUGACAAGCUGACCCCUUCGCAGCUGGCGCCCCCAUCUAGCUGUACCGUCGACGCUCGACUGCGCGGCUGCGCACACGAGUGUUUGGGUGGUUGCGGCAUCAAGCACAGCCUCGCCGCUGCCGAGAUCCCGCAACGGAAACCUUCAGCAGGACAGGCGGCAGCAGUGCAGUACCUGUCAACGGGAUCUGCCAAGAACUCGAGGCCGCCGGAUGCGGCAUCCUCCGUCGCCAUUCCUAUGGUUUCCAUUGUGGCGGAGGACUUGGUGCUACAGAUUUUCACAUCUGUGUAUACAGUUCGGCUGGCUAGCGCGGUACCGACCACAACAGAAGGUCUAGAGAUCAAAUUCCAGAUUAUUACAUAUGGGCCGACCCACAUAAGGAGUUACGCCAGCGAGAAGCUCCAGCUGCGAAGCAUGCAUCGGGUUUUGGAUCUUCUAGUGUCCACUCAGGUGUCACGUGUCGCCACAAGAGCUGCCGCCGGCCACGUCGUGCUCUGCAUGGAGCGAACCUCCAUGGAUGCCCCUGCGCGAGCCAUGAAGACUAAGAAAAACGCCAGAACCAACAUGCGGACCUCCAUAGAUUCCAGCGAUACAACCGCAGGCUCUGGUUUCAGGAGAGAGAGGGGGAAGGGGAUUGGGAUAGAAGAUGGAUAUGACAUAUGUGGGGCAGGGAUGUCAGUGAAAGUAGCCUGUGAUCCCGGGCGGGAUGAAUCUUUUCCAGCUAGUUCCUUCCUACCUCCAUGUCCACUUCAUCAGAACAUCACCAUAUGUAAGAAUCACCUCAAGCAUCAACCACCUGAGCCAACUGUGCAUGUACGUCUUGGCUUCCAGCUCCUGUUCCCAUCAUCCACUAUCUCGUCGACCCCAUCGACCUCUACCUGGCUACCCGCUGCCACUGUCAUCCUUCACUGGUGCUUCGCGCGGCUCACCUCAUCUUACGCCUCCUGCAGCCUCUUGAGGAGGCUUCGCCAGGGCCAGGCCUGUUGCGCAAUCUCAUCAGCCACCUUGGCAUCUCCCCUCGACGUGGUGGCGACGGUGGUGGUCAUGCUCCUUUUUCUUUUGCCACUCUUACACAACAGCCCCAACGUGAUCCUCUCCGGCAUCAAUAUCACCGCCGUGGCCAGGCUAAUCGACGUAUAUGGCCCUGCCAAGCUGUGGAAGGUGGACAAGCUGAUUUCCCGGCGUGCGUCGCCGCAUUAUUCGGCGUGCUCCUCGUUUCCGUCAAGAUCGGUCUGCCGUGGCCGUCGGGAUCUCGCUGUUGAAGAUCAUGUGCACGUGAGACGGGAGAGAACAAACGGGGAAAACAACUUGGACAUUAUAUAUACUGGUCAAUAG
RNAcentral lists this ribosomal RNA (2142 nucleotides) under Triticum aestivum (bread wheat). RNAcentral's name for it is "partial small subunit ribosomal RNA". Lineage: Eukaryota; Viridiplantae; Streptophyta; Magnoliopsida; Poales; Poaceae. The record is from RNAcentral.